RNAcentral lists this long non-coding RNA (1393 nucleotides) under Gopherus agassizii (Agassiz's desert tortoise). RNAcentral's name for it is "lncRNA (ENSGAGG00000019989.1)". Lineage: Eukaryota; Metazoa; Chordata; Testudines; Testudinidae. The record is from RNAcentral.
CUAUCACUCAUCAGAAUUAAUAUGGUGAAUAUGGAGUUCAUCAUUAAAGGGAAUACUCAAAAGGGGUGACUCAUAGAUGAAUGUGAUAUCUCGGCGCCAUGAACAAUUUUCUUUAUUAGCUUGUUUCUGGCUGGGUGAAGAAAUAUUUUGCUAGUGGAUGACUUAAAUAAGUGAACAGAUUUAGUCAUUUAAAAAAAAUGUAAGUUAUUGUAAGGUAUUUAUUAUAUUUUUCCUGCUGAAUCAUACAGGCAAAGAGAGAGGAAAUUUUGUACUUGGUCUGCACGAUGAGUUUAUUUUUUUUCAUUCUCUGUUAUUAUUGAAGAUAUUUUAGUCAUGGAUUUGUCCCUUCCAAGAUAUUCUCUCCUCCUUCUUGAUCCUACAGUUUAAUCUGCAUAAUGCUAUACAUAUGAUAACUGUCAUGACUAUCUCUUGCCACAAAUUCAUCUUUAUUUCAGAGGAUCAAAUCUAAGGAGGCAUUACUUUGACUUUCUUUGCUAGUAGAAUACAGUAAUUUCUGCUAUUGUGGAUCCUUUAUUCAGGGACCAUUAUUCAGGGAUCAUUUCCAGCAAAUCACAUCUUCUGAAAGAAAAUGUGAUAUCAAUAGAUGUUUUUUCUGCAAUUUCUUCCUCCCAAGCCCCCUCAGAUUUCUUCUAGUAAAAGUGUAAAAUCUGUUGUAAAAAAAAGAAGAGAUGAAGAUAUAAUUGUCUGGGUGCUGGCUCAUUAUCCGCAAGUUCAUGUCAGGUUUAACAUCGUCAUAGCAGAUGAGGACUCACAGGAGAAUAUUACACGUGGUGAAGAUUCUAGGCAAAGUCACCUAAACCGUGGUUCUCUUCCUGAAGGAGACAACAAUGAGGGGAAGGACGGACAUCCCACAAGCACCUCUGUGGAUCGCCACCAUUACACACAUCAUGAAAUCACCACCCAAGCAAAACCAUUUUCCCCUCCAUGGUGGCAUUCUGUAAAUUCCAAGGAACAGCACCCGACAACUGCCAGUAACGGUAAAGAAUUUAUAUAAUUUCACCUAAGCAGCUUUGUUUAAAGUCUGUUGCUAAAGCUGAGUUGAAGGCAGCAUGGAAGUGUAAACCCUGCAUAUAUAUGAAGUGGCAGCCAAACAGCCUUUCUGAUACUAUGUUGGCUUCUUAUGUGUUCCCGGUUUCUGUUUCCAAUAAGAAUAACUCACUCUUUUACAUUCACUAUGUUUUCACCAGAACUAAUCUGUUAAAUCUUGAGGUCCUAAUUUAGUGCAUUUUUAUAUAGCAUGUGCAAAGGGCAAAGCUUAUUGGAAAAACACAAGUGAAAACAUGGAUACAAGAUAGCUAGCUGCUGCAGUGAUAAAAACAUUUAAAAUGUUCAUAAUAAUAAAUAUCUUGGCUUUAGAAUGUAGUUUAUUUUA